This 423-nucleotide ribosomal RNA is filed under the name Salmonella enterica subsp. enterica serovar Weltevreden. Its description in RNAcentral is "bacterial SSU rRNA". It matches the Rfam family "Bacterial small subunit ribosomal RNA", at positions 548 to 970 of the family's 1533-position model. Lineage: Bacteria; Pseudomonadati; Pseudomonadota; Gammaproteobacteria; Enterobacterales; Enterobacteriaceae. The record is from RNAcentral.
GAAUUACUGGGCGUAAAGCGCACGCAGGCGGUCUGUCAAGUCGGAUGUGAAAUCCCCGGGCUCAACCUGGGAACUGCAUUCGAAACUGGCAGGCUUGAGUCUUGUAGAGGGGGGUAGAAUUCCAGGUGUAGCGGUGAAAUGCGUAGAGAUCUGGAGGAAUACCGGUGGCGAAGGCGGCCCCCUGGACAAAGACUGACGCUCAGGUGCGAAAGCGUGGGGAGCAAACAGGAUUAGAUACCCUGGUAGUCCACGCCGUAAACGAUGUCUACUUGGAGGUUGUGCCCUUGAGGUGUGGCUUCCGGAGCUAACGCGUUAAGUAGACCGCCUGGGGAGUACGGCCGCAAGGUUAAAACUCAAAUGAAUUGACGGGGGCCCGCACAAGCGGUGGAGCAUGUGGUUUAAUUCGAUGCAACGCGAAGAACC